Molecule: ribosomal RNA, 484 nt
Filed under: uncultured bacterium
Lineage: Bacteria
Description: partial 16S ribosomal RNA
Rfam family: Bacterial small subunit ribosomal RNA
Source: RNAcentral
AUUGAACGCUGGCGGCAUGCCUAACACAUGCAAGUCGAGCGGAUGAAGGGAGCUUUCUCCUGGAUUCAGCGGCGGACGGGUGAGUAAUUCCUAGGAAUCUGCCUUGUAGUUAGGGAUAACGUCCGUAAACGGGCGCUAAUACCGCAUACGUCCUUAUGUAGAACGUCGGGGAUCUUCGGACCUCACGCUAUUAGCUGUCCCUAGGUCGGAUUAGCUAGUUGGUGUGGUAAAGGCCUACCAAGGCGACGAUCCGUAACUGGUCUGAGAGGAUGAUCAGUCACACUGGAACCGAGACACGGUCCAGACUCCUACGGGAGGCAGCAGUGGGGAAUAUUGGACAAUGGGCGAAAGCCUGAUCCAGCCAUGCCGCGUGUGUGAAGAAGGUCUUCGGAUUGUAAAGCACUUUAAGUUGGGAGGAAGGGCAGUAAGUUAAUACCUUGCUGUUUUGACGUUACCAAAAGAAUAAGCACCGGCUAACUUCGUG